Molecule: ribosomal RNA, 798 nt
Filed under: Klebsiella pneumoniae
Lineage: Bacteria; Pseudomonadati; Pseudomonadota; Gammaproteobacteria; Enterobacterales; Enterobacteriaceae
Description: bacterial LSU rRNA
Rfam family: Bacterial large subunit ribosomal RNA
Source: RNAcentral
UGCGCGGAAGAUGUAACGGGGCUAAACCAUGCACCGAAGCUGCGGCAGCGACACUAUGUGUUGUUGGGUAGGGGAGCGUUCUGUAAGCCUGCGAAGGUGUGCUGUGAGGCAUGCUGGAGGUAUCAGAAGUGCGAAUGCUGACAUAAGUAACGAUAAAGCGGGUGAAAAGCCCGCUCGCCGGAAGACCAAGGGUUCCUGUCCAACGUUAAUCGGGGCAGGGUGAGUCGACCCCUAAGGCGAGGCCGAAAGGCGUAGUCGAUGGGAAACAGGUUAAUAUUCCUGUACUUGGUGUUACUGCGAAGGGGGGACGGAGAAGGCUAUGUUAGCCGGGCGACGGUUGUCCCGGUUUAAGCAUGUAGGCUGGUUAUCCAGGCAAAUCCGGAUAACCAAGGCUGAGGUGUGAUGACGAGGCACUACGGUGCUGAAGUAACAAAUGCCCUGCUUCCAGGAAAAGCCUCUAAGCAUCAGGUAACAUCAAAUCGUACCCCAAACCGACACAGGUGGUCAGGUAGAGAAUACCAAGGCGCUUGAGAGAACUCGGGUGAAGGAACUAGGCAAAAUGGUGCCGUAACUUCGGGAGAAGGCACGCUGGUGUGUAGGUGAAGUCCCUGCGGAUGGAGCUGAGACCAGUCGAAGAUACCAGCUGGCUGCAACUGUUUAUUAAAAACACAGCACUGUGCAAACACGAAAGUGGACGUAUACGGUGUGACGCCUGCCCGGUGCCGGAAGGUUAAUUGAUGGGGUUAUCCGUAAGGAGAAGCUCUUGAUCGAAGCCCCGGUAAACGGGCGGCCGUAACU